UACGUAGGGGGCAAGCGUUGUCCGGAUUUAUUGGGCGUAAAGAGCGUGUAGGCGGCCAGACAAGUCUGCUGUGAAAACUCGAGGCUCAACCUCGAGCUGUCGGUGGAAACUGUCUGGCUAGAGUCCGGAAGAGGAGAGUGGAAUUCCUGGUGUAGCGGUGAAAUGCGCAGAUAUCAGAAAGAACACCUAUGGCGAAGGCAGCUCUCUGGGACGGUACUGACGCUGAGACGCGAAAGCGUGGGGAGCGAACAGG
This 253-nucleotide ribosomal RNA is filed under the name uncultured bacterium. RNAcentral's name for it is "partial 16S ribosomal RNA". It matches the Rfam family "Bacterial small subunit ribosomal RNA", at positions 524 to 776 of the family's 1533-position model. The record is from RNAcentral.